This 484-nucleotide ribosomal RNA is filed under the name uncultured bacterium. RNAcentral describes it as "partial 16S ribosomal RNA". It matches the Rfam family "Bacterial small subunit ribosomal RNA", at positions 30 to 507 of the family's 1533-position model. The record is from RNAcentral.
ACUGAACGCUGGCGGCAGGCCUAACACAUGCAAGUCGAGCGGAUGAAGGGAGCUUGCUCCUGGAUUCAGCGGCGGACGGGUGAGUAAUGCCUAGGAAUCUGCCUGGUAGUGGGGGAUAACGUCCGGAAACGGGCGCUAAUACCGCAUACGUCCUGAGGGAGCAAGUGGGGGAUGUUCGGACCUCACGCUAUCAGAUGAGCCUAGGUCGGAUUAGCUAGUUGGUGGGGUAAAGGCCUACCAAGGCGACGAUCCGUAACUGGUCUGAGAGGAUGAUCAGUCACACUGGAACUGGGACACGGUCCAGACUCCUACGGGAGGCAGCAGUGGGGAAUAUUGGACAAUGGGCGAAAGCCUGAUCCAGCCAUGCCGCGUGUGUGAAGAAGGUCUUCGGAUUGUAAAGCACUUUAAGUUGGGAGGAAGGGCAGUAAGUUAAUACCUUGCUGUUUUGACGUUACCAACAGAAUAAGCACCGGCUAACUUCGUG